This 1100-nucleotide ribosomal RNA is filed under the name Bacillus subtilis. RNAcentral's name for it is "bacterial SSU rRNA". It matches the Rfam family "Bacterial small subunit ribosomal RNA", at positions 202 to 1297 of the family's 1533-position model. The record is from RNAcentral. Lineage: Bacteria; Bacillati; Bacillota; Bacilli; Caryophanales; Bacillaceae.
GCUUCGGCUACCACUUACAGAUGGACCCGCGGCGCAUUAGCUAGUUGGUGAGGUAACGGCUCACCAAGGCGACGAUGCGUAGCCGACCUGAGAGGGUGAUCGGCCACACUGGGACUGAGACACGGCCCAGACUCCUACGGGAGGCAGCAGUAGGGAAUCUUCCGCAAUGGACGAAAGUCUGACGGAGCAACGCCGCGUGAGUGAUGAAGGUUUUCGGAUCGUAAAGCUCUGUUGUUAGGGAAGAACAAGUGCCGUUCAAAUAGGGCGGCACCUUGACGGUACCUAACCAGAAAGCCACGGCUAACUACGUGCCAGCAGCCGCGGUAAUACGUAGGUGGCAAGCGUUGUCCGGAAUUAUUGGGCGUAAAGGGCUCGCAGGCGGUUUCUUAAGUCUGAUGUGAAAGCCCCCGGCUCAACCGGGGAGGGUCAUUGGAAACUGGGGAACUUGAGUGCAGAAGAGGAGAGUGGAAUUCCACGUGUAGCGGUGAAAUGCGUAGAGAUGUGGAGGAACACCAGUGGCGAAGGCGACUCUCUGGUCUGUAACUGACGCUGAGGAGCGAAAGCGUGGGGAGCGAACAGGAUUAGAUACCCUGGUAGUCCACGCCGUAAACGAUGAGUGCUAAGUGUUAGGGGGUUUCCGCCCCUUAGUGCUGCAGCUAACGCAUUAAGCACUCCGCCUGGGGAGUACGGUCGCAAGACUGAAACUCAAAGGAAUUGACGGGGGCCCGCACAAGCGGUGGAGCAUGUGGUUUAAUUCGAAGCAACGCGAAGAACCUUACCAGGUCUUGACAUCCUCUGACAAUCCUAGAGAUAGGACGUCCCCUUCGGGGGCAGAGUGACAGGUGGUGCAUGGUUGUCGUCAGCUCGUGUCGUGAGAUGUUGGGUUAAGUCCCGCAACGAGCGCAACCCUUGAUCUUAGUUGCCAGCAUUCAGUUGGGCACUCUAAGGUGACUGCCGGUGACAAACCGGAGGAAGGUGGGGAUGACGUCAAAUCAUCAUGCCCCUUAUGACCUGGGCUACACACGUGCUACAAUGGACAGAACAAAGGGCAGCGAAACCGCGAGGUUAAGCCAAUCCCACAAAUCUGUUCUCAGUUCGGA